Long non-coding RNA from Fopius arisanus, 537 nucleotides. RefSeq lists it as uncharacterized. NCBI's taxonomy places the organism in Eukaryota, Metazoa, Arthropoda, Insecta, Hymenoptera, Braconidae. The record is from RefSeq and is a predicted model, not a curated record. The transcript is spliced from 2 exons.
GGAGACGAGGGCGGCCCAUUGGUGUGCGAUGACCGAAUAGUUGGCAUAUAUAGUCGUCCCGUCGCUAGGAAGCAAGAAAGUUCUAACCAUACAGCCCCUCCAGUUACUUUUAUGAAGGUUUCUUCAUAUUACGACUUUAUUAAACAGGCCAUAGCUUCCACAAAUGAGGAAUAAUAUUAUUCGUCAGGAAAGCUGGGGUUAACAUCUGGCAUGGAUUACGCCCAUUUGGAAAGCCACAGAACGUCAUGCGGAGAUCAGUGGAAUAAAUAUCUUCGAAUUAUUAAAAAUUAUUAAGGUGUUGUGUAAAGAGGGACAUCAAUUACUUCCACGUUGCGAUAAAAGUAGUUAAACAUAUCAGUAAUUUCCAGAGUCUGAGAAUCUUGUUGUAAGACAUGAAAAGAAGAUAUAAAAGACAUAAAAUAAUUCUUUAUUAUCAUUUAUACCUCGAAUUAUAUCUCACUUUAUGAAUUACUAUUUUGAAUGCUCAUUAGUAACAUAAUAAAUACAAUUAUACACUUAUUCAAUAAUGAAGAAAAA